UAAGGAAUAUUGGACAAUGGACGCAAGUCUGAUCCAGCCAUGCCGCGUGAAGGAUGAAUGCCCUCUGGGUUGUAAACUUCUUUUACAGGGGAAGAAAGUUAUCUUUUUCAGGAUAUUUGACGGUACCCUAUGAAUAAGCACCGGCUAACUCCGUGCCAGCAGCCGCGGUAAUACGGAGGGUGCAAGCGUUAUCCGGAUUCACUGGGUUUAAAGGGUGCGUAGGCGGGUAUGUAAGUCAGUGGUGAAAUACCGGAGCUUAACUUCGGAACUGCCAUUGAUACUAUAUAUCUUGAAUAUUGUGGAGGUAAGCGGAAUAUGUCAUGUAGCGGUGAAAUGCUUAGAGAUGACAUAGAACACCGAUUGCGAAGGCAGCUUGCUACGCAAAUAUUGACGCUGAGGCACGAAAGCGUGGGGAUCAAACAGG
This 424-nucleotide ribosomal RNA is filed under the name uncultured Sediminibacterium sp. Its description in RNAcentral is "bacterial SSU rRNA". It matches the Rfam family "Bacterial small subunit ribosomal RNA", at positions 355 to 776 of the family's 1533-position model. The record is from RNAcentral. Lineage: Bacteria; Pseudomonadati; Bacteroidota; Chitinophagia; Chitinophagales; Chitinophagaceae.